AUUGAACGCUUUCUUCCUUCCUAACACAUGCAAGUCGAACGGUAACAGGAAGAAGCUUGCUUCUUUGCUGACGAGUGGCGGACGGGUGAGUAAUGUCUGGGAAACUGCCUGAUGGAGGGGGAUAACUACUGGAAACGGUAGCUAAUACCGCAUAACGUCGCAAGACCAAAGAGGGGGACCUUCGGGCCUCUUGCCAUCGGAUGUGCCCAGAUGGGAUUAGCUAGUAGGUGGGGUAACGGCUCACCUAGGCGACGAUCCCUAGCUGGUCUGAGAGGAUGACCAGCCACACUGGAACUGAGACACGGUCCAGACUCCUACGGGAGGCAGCAGUGGGGAAUAUUGCACAAUGGGCGCAAGCCUGAUGCAGCCAUGCCGCGUGUAUGAAGAAGGCCUUCGGGUUGUAAAGUACUUUCAGCGGGGAGGAAGGGAGUAAAGUUAAUACCUUUGCUCAUUGACGUUACCCGCAGAAGAAGCACCGGCUAACUCCGUG
This 490-nucleotide ribosomal RNA is filed under the name uncultured bacterium. RNAcentral describes it as "partial 16S ribosomal RNA". It matches the Rfam family "Bacterial small subunit ribosomal RNA", at positions 30 to 507 of the family's 1533-position model. The record is from RNAcentral.